This 319-nucleotide long non-coding RNA is filed under the name Mus caroli (Ryukyu mouse). Its description in RNAcentral is "predicted gene, 37622 (MGP_CAROLIEiJ_G0002418.1)". Lineage: Eukaryota; Metazoa; Chordata; Mammalia; Rodentia; Muridae. The record is from RNAcentral.
AGAACUCUGGUCUCUGUCCUGAAUGCCUCCUCUUCUCCUGCUCUCAAAGCUCGAAUCAGAAGCAGGAGCUUUGAGGAAGAAGGAAAGAGAAGGUCCCGAGGUGAUGCAUCUGGGUCUGUGCCCAGACAGAUGGUCUUCCCACGCAUGGCCUCCCUGUCUCCUUCUGUCUCGAAGCACCUACACAGGCACCCACUAGAGCCCACACAGCGCUGUCCCCUGCUCCCAUCUCAGACACAGGGCCAAGUCACUGCCCGUUACAGUCUGGUCCUUUGGGGGAUAACGUCUUAUAAAUCCUGGUGUUUUCUUGUCAUAGUCUCAA